GUCUAUGGCCAUGCCAUCCUGAACACGCCGGAUCUCGUCUGAUCUUGGAAGCUAAGCACGUUAGGCCUGAUUAGUACUUGGAUGGGAAACCACCUACGGAUACCGGGUGCUGGAGCUC
RNAcentral lists this ribosomal RNA (118 nucleotides) under Pteropus vampyrus (large flying fox). The record is from RNAcentral. Lineage: Eukaryota; Metazoa; Chordata; Mammalia; Chiroptera; Pteropodidae.